This 169-nucleotide small RNA is filed under the name Pan troglodytes (chimpanzee). Its description in RNAcentral is "retained intron". Lineage: Eukaryota; Metazoa; Chordata; Mammalia; Primates; Hominidae. The record is from RNAcentral.
CUUGUCCCCAUGCAGUCUAGCAGGAAAGGAGAGGGAGCUUUCCCCGAAGACCCUCCUGGACCAGCCCCAGGCUCCUGUGCUGGUUGCACGCCAGGGCCUGUACUGACCACCUCCACGUGCCACUGGGGCUGUAAGGAGGAAUGGCGGCCGUGGGCAGCCUGCUUGGGUA